AAGAAAUUAGCUCAGUUGGUAGAGCGUUCGUUUUACACACGAAGGUCAGGUGUUCAAAUCACCUAUUUCUUA
RNAcentral lists this transfer RNA (72 nucleotides) under Aspergillus nidulans. Its description in RNAcentral is "Emericella nidulans tRNA". It matches the Rfam family "tRNA". Rfam says of the family: Transfer RNA (tRNA) molecules are approximately 80 nucleotides in length. Their secondary structure includes four short double-helical elements and three loops (D, anti-codon, and T loops). Lineage: Eukaryota; Fungi; Ascomycota; Eurotiomycetes; Eurotiales; Aspergillaceae. The record is from Rfam by way of RNAcentral.